AUUCUUCCUUCAUGAAUAGAUCAAUGCUAUUAUCGUAGAAGUGGGUUUGUUAUUGCAGAAGUAGGUUCCUUUCAAAAGGAUGAGUUCAGCCCCCUUUUGCCUCUUUCUCUCCCUCAUUCUCUUUUUGCCCUUCUUUCAUGGGAUGAUGCAGCAAGAAGGCCCUUGCCAGAUGCCAGCACCUUGAUAUUGAACUUCUCAUUCUCCAGAAUGGUGAUGGCCACAGUGGCAGAACCUAGGAAGCCAAGAAGAAACCAGAGAACGGAGACACAUGGCAGCAAUGGCAAGUCAUCAGACCCAGGAUUUCCCAAAGAACACUGGUCCAGGAAGAUGCUCUGUGAAAAAGUGUUCCCCAGUCAGAGAAAUUUGUGAAACACUUUGCAUAAUACUUAAAAUAAUGUAUGGCACAUCAAAGGUAAUAUGCAAUAAGGGAAUUCAUUUUUUAAAACCAA
This 449-nucleotide long non-coding RNA is filed under the name Pongo abelii (Sumatran orangutan). RNAcentral's name for it is "lincRNA". Lineage: Eukaryota; Metazoa; Chordata; Mammalia; Primates; Hominidae. The record is from RNAcentral.